UACGGGGGGGGCAAGCGUUGUUCGGGAUUACUGGGCGUAAAGGGCCAGUAGGCGGCCAACUAAGUCCGACGUGAAAUCCCCAGGCUUAACCUGGGAACUGCGUCGGAUACUGGAUGGCUUGAAUUCGGGAGAGGGAUGCAGAAUUCCAGGUGUAGCGGUGAAAUGCGUAGAUAUCAGGAGGAACACCAAUUGCGAAGGCAGCUCGCUGGGACGUUACUGACGCUGAGACGCGAAAGCGUGGGGAGCAAACAGG
Molecule: ribosomal RNA, 253 nt
Filed under: uncultured bacterium
Lineage: Bacteria
Description: partial 16S ribosomal RNA
Rfam family: Bacterial small subunit ribosomal RNA
Source: RNAcentral